GGGCUCGUAGCUCAGUGGUCAGAGCAGGGGACUCAUAAUCCUUAGGCCGAAGGUUCGAUUCCUUCCGGGCCCA
This 73-nucleotide transfer RNA is filed under the name Actinomycetota bacterium. Its description in RNAcentral is "tRNA-Ile". It matches the Rfam family "tRNA". From Rfam's summary of the family: Transfer RNA (tRNA) molecules are approximately 80 nucleotides in length. Lineage: Bacteria; Bacillati; Actinomycetota. The record is from RNAcentral.